This is a long non-coding RNA of Acinonyx jubatus (cheetah), 2733 nucleotides long. RefSeq lists it as uncharacterized. The record is from RefSeq and is a predicted model, not a curated record. The transcript is spliced from 4 exons. Lineage: Eukaryota; Metazoa; Chordata; Mammalia; Carnivora; Felidae.
AAGCAUGGAAGCAGGUGGCUUGGCUAUGAGGCUAUUGCUGUAGUACAGGAGAGGGAUGACAGUGUCCUGGACUAGAAUGACAGCAGUGGAUCUGAGGACAAGUGUCUGGAUUCUAACAUGUUUUGGAAGAUUGCCGUGAGGAUUACUUAAAAUUUUUUUCUUUAUUUUAGAGACAGAGAGAGCACACAUAUGCAUGAGGGAGAGUGGAAGAGGGAGUAAGAGAGAGAAUCCCAAGCAGGCUCCACAUUCCGUGGGGAGCCCCAUGUGGAGCUCGAUUCCAUGACCCUGGGAUUACGACCUGAACUGAAACCAAGAGCCAGAUGCUCAACUGACUGAGCCACCGAGGCUCCCUACUGUCCAAGAUGUGGGAGCCAUGAGGAGAGGGGCAGAGUAAUCCUGGACAAGGCCAUCCUACUAGCCAGCCCCCAGCCACCCUGCCAGCUGACCACAGAUGCAUGAACAAGCCCAGAGCUGCCUGGAGUCAUUUCCUGCAGGAAUUUCACGUCUUCCCAUUGAAGUGUUCCAGCAGCUGGUAACCAAAUCAUCAACUCAGGCCAUGGGUGAUUCUCCAGGCUCCAAUUACAAAUCAGAAGGAAUAAAGCAGUCUGCAUAUUUCCCACGUUGGGUGAGGACACACUGACUUCUGGAGAGCUUGAAUCAAUAAGCUGAAAGAAAAGUUCAAACUCCAAUUUCAGAAGAACUUGGCUUCUGCGUGUUAAACUAUGGAUUCAUAGAUUCUUCUGCCUUGUGGGUCUUCUGCUCUCUGCUGUCCUUGACAGCUUGCACCAAGCUGAUCACUGGGGACAUCAAUGGACUUCUGAAUGAAGACAUUGUCUGACAAGUAUAAUAGACGAGCAUGAAACGCAUACUGUUCUGCUCUUUUGAAUAUAUUACAUUUAUUGAGAACUACAAUUAAGUUAUGUAUUUUUAUCAGUAAAGCACUUUAUUGAUUGUGGACGUGAAGCUGAGUUCUUUCAUGUUUUGGCCAGCUCUAAGGACACAUGCACCUAGUGGUUCAAAACAAAUUGACCGGCAUGAUUACUGAGCCUGUGAUGAAUUGUAAGUGUAUAGAAAUAUCAAACAUUGGAGUGCGUUAUUCUGUACAACAUUUGUUCUAAUUUUGUGUUCAUUUUAAUGAUAAAUGAAACAAAUUAAUAGAAGUAUUGUGUUCAGGAUCUGGAGUCAGACUUUAUGGGCUUAAAUUCUAUAUACAUGGCAUGGAUUUGAAAAUGCUAUUGAAGUUCUCUGAGCCCCAGUUUGCUCAUCUAUAAAAUCGUGAUCACAAUAGCAUCUUUCUCAAGCAGUAAAUAAAGGCAUUCAGUGGGAUAGUCUAGAUAGAGAAAGGUGCUUGACACGUAGUAAGUCGUCUGUAAAUAUCAGCUAUUAAUAUUAUUAUCAUCAUUGUCAUUUGGACGAUCACCGUACAACGAAGUAUCACCACAUGAUUUUGCAGUAUCUGCAUUUAAGUCCACGUUGAUGCCAAGAAGCACGUGCAUUGUCACAAGUAAAUAAGAAAGGAAGAGAGGUUGGAAUUAAUACAAAACGGAUGCAUUCGUGCCAAGGAAAGCGCAAAUGACAUGAUGUUUUAUUGUACAAAUGGUGGUUUCGAAGUGGUUCGGGGUGGGAAAAUGGAGUGGUGACAGAGCAAACCUCAGAACAGGCACGCUGAGUUGUAAAGAGCCUGCGUUACAGCAGUCAACAUCGAAUUUACAUCCUGAACCGCAAUUUAGUUUCAGCUAAACAGCAUCAUCUGUCGUAUUAAUGUUCAUUUGAAUGUACUGGGUUUAUUUGCAUUUAGUUGUAAACUCUUUUAGUUUCAGGGUUGUAUUAGAGAUAAAAGCACAUGGAGUUCAUACUUUAUUUUAUACUUGAGUACAUUUAAUACUUAAAAGUUUUAAGCCAACACUAAAGGUGUGCAAAUUUCUUUUUCUUUAUGGGAUCUCUAUGGGAUUUGAUCCUGAGAAACACUGAUGUUUGUUAGAGUGUAGUGUAAAUAAUGUUGGGGUAAUGCCUGAUUGUAUGAUUCUAAUAUAUUGGCAUGUGCCCACUGUGUACAGGGCACUUGCUGGGCACAAACAGUGAUAGAAUGUAAGCUAUGUCUAGUUAGGGAAGCUAGGAGGAGUGUAUGGGAUGUGUGUGUGUGUGUGUGUGUGUGAGAGAGAGAGAGAGAGAGAUCACCACCAGUAUAGGGUGGCACUGAGUAUGGAGUGAGCAGUACAAAAACUAUCAUAAGAAUUCCAGAGAGGGCCUGAUUGCAGGUGGCUGAAAUUCGGUUUUGUCGGGACAAGAGAUUUGAGGUAAGCCUUAAGUAAAGAUGGUAGAGGGCAUUCCAGUUUUGGGAAAUGAGUGUCUAGAAGUAAGGAAUAGUGUAAGCAAAGGAGGCAGCUAUUUCCAUUAUAUUCAGUCGUCUGUUGCUUAAUUUAGAGCAAAAUAUUAAAAUAAAAAAAACUUGCCUAAAACGAGCAACAUAUUAUGUAUUGGUCAGAAGUUCACCUUUUGCUUCCACAGUGGCUAUGACAUAGCUUCUAUGUGCUCUUCCUCCUUUGGAAACUUCCAAGUAGCCUGGAAUCAUGGUACCUCCCUCAUUUUGAUUAGUGAACAUUGCCCCAAACUGGCAGUUCAGUGAUUUAAUUGGCCUUUUAAGUGGGUUCUCAAAUGCCAGUGUUUUAUAAAUUGGACAGUCACGGAUUCUGUCUCAGAUUAAUGUAAAAGUGGGUAAAAUUUUGUCCAUGU